AUCUUAGGAGCCGCUGAUACUCGAAUCGGCGGAGGUGACGGUGUUUGAAGUGCGUCUUGGAGUUGUCAGGGCGGGCAGGCCAACGGAAACGCUCAGACACUCCUAAGGCAGUGCUAGACGUUAAAGGGUCACACUGCUCCCGAAAAUGUCAAUUCAAAAGCUGAGAGAACAAAACUUCACUUUUCAUGUAUUUUGUAGCCUUCUUUCGUUUCCCAGAGAAGGGAGUGCUGAGGAACCCCCCAACGCAAGGCGUGGAGGCAGCUGUCCACCCCGACCCGCAGCCUUUGGACAGAUAGGGCCUCACAGCCCCGGCCUGGGCUUGAGGGAGUGUCUCUCAAGAAUGUAAGGGUGUCAGGAACCCUGACACUGUCAUGAAGAGCAAGAAGGAAGAACUCAGAGAAUUCAAACUCAGCUGGAGACUGCUGGAGGAGCUGCCAGACGCAAUCAAGGAAGAGGAGAAACACUGGGGCCUGAGAAGAGGGAAAUUAAGAGGUGUGUCCAGCCCAGCUAGAGAAGGCUCCUCGGAAACUUCAGUCGACUCUGGAGAGGGCGGGAGAGAUGCCCAGCCCCUUAAAGGAG
Molecule: long non-coding RNA, 579 nt
Organism: Physeter macrocephalus (sperm whale)
Lineage: Eukaryota; Metazoa; Chordata; Mammalia; Artiodactyla; Physeteridae
Exons: 3
Source: RefSeq, a predicted model, not a curated record